Molecule: long non-coding RNA, 2269 nt
Filed under: Homo sapiens (human)
Lineage: Eukaryota; Metazoa; Chordata; Mammalia; Primates; Hominidae
Description: HSALNT0167267
Source: RNAcentral
UUCCGGGGAGUCUAACUCUGGGCGGGCCUGAGAGGGGGCAGAUGGUGGGAGGGGCUCCUUCUGACCCCUAAGUCCCCAAGCUCUCCAGCCCCCCGCUGCCCGACCCGCGUCAGGCCUCGGGCUGGGCUCGGGCCCCAGGCGCUGCCCCGGCUCCCUCUCUGGUUCCUGGCCUCCGUCCUCCGCAGCUGAGCCCCGCUCGGCUCCACCCCAGGCUCUAUCGCCUGCUCUGUCGCCUGCUCCAUCGCUGGCUCCCGAUCUGGCUCCCGUUCCCACUCCCCGCCCGGUGUGCUCAGCUUGCUCGGGGCGUCUCCCUACUGAAGAAUUAUGUUGCAUAAAGCAGCCGCCACCAUCUUGAACUGGCAGUGAACUUUGCUUUCUACAUAUAAAUACAGAUAGCAAUCACACCCCAAUCAGCGCAGAGGCUUCAGGGCAUCAUCUCAGCAACUCUAACUUUCCCAUUACGAUAAUGUGAUUUUCACUCAGUCUAUAAUAUCACCAGCCAUGAAUAAAGCAACUGGCUCUUUCUCUCUCUCUCUUCCCUCCCCCCUUUCUCUGCCUCUCUCCCACCCACUUCAGUCUUUCUUUUCCUCCUUCACACCCUCCUCUUCUGUCUCUCUGCAACCCCUCCUGGUGAUCUCUGAGUCUCUGAGCACCUCCGCCUUCCUCUCCCACUGCCUCUUUCUCCCCCUCAUCCUCUGGGACUCACAUUCCCUAAAUACUAAUGGCAGGGAUUUGCUGUGCCCCAUGGCUCAGUUAAGUUCUGCUCCCCAGCUCUGCCAUCAUCUGCCUUUGCCUGAAGGUACCAGGAUGGCUCUCUGCAAGGAUUCCCACCAGGAAUGCCAAAGCCAGAGACUUAGGGACCAAAGGACCCAGAAGGGAGAUCUGAAAAAUUCCUGCUUAGGGGCGGGUCCUGGAGGCUCUGAUUUUUCUGGGUAUUGAGGGACCCAAACUCAACCAGAUUCCAAAUGCCAGACGAUUGUGAGUAGAUACAGCUGGUGAGAGGGUGCUCUGGAGACGCCUGCAGAAAAGAGAGGAAACUGGCCCAGCCUCCUAGAGACACUUCUGAGUACGGCUCGGUCCUGAGCCUGACGGCAGUCCAGGCUGUAGCUGCCUUUGCCAGGACAUGUGAUAAAGGCCCGCAGAUCCUUGAUCAAGGUGUCAGCCACUUUGUCGGAGCUCCUGGAAAGGGCUUCUCUUUCCUUCAUGGACAUUCUCCAGAUGGAUUCUCGCUUUGCCACCCAGCCUGGAGUACAGUGGUACAAUCUCGGCUCACUGCAAUCUCCGCCUCCCAGGUUCAAGUGAUUCUCCUGCCUCAGCUUCCCGAGUAGCUGGGACUACAGGUUUGUGCCACCGUGCCCAGAUAAUUUUUGUAUUUUUGGUAGAGACCAUGUUUCACCAUGUUGGCCAGGCUGGUCUCGAACUCCUGACCUCAGGUGAUCCACCCACCUGGGCCCCCAAAACUGCUGGGAUUACAGGCGUGAGCCACCGUGCCCAGCCAAGCAACACAUUAUUAACCAAGUGCUGUAGCUAAGGGAACUGAAUCACCUGUAAACUCAUGACAGAAUGCGGAGUCUGGUCUCCUCCCUAUGCCUAACUCCACUGCUCACAGACAGGGUCCAUGGCUUCCAGGUGAUAUUGCCCAGUAUUGGGGGACAGGCAUGAGAACAUGGAAGGGAAGCACAGAGUGAGAGACACAUAUAGAGAUAACUGCAGGGUGCAGCAGGGCAGAAAAAGAGUGGUAAGUUCAGUCUGAAGAGCCAGGUGACACUUCAUAGAGGAGAUGGUGCUCCAGCUAACGUAAAUAUAGGCAAAAUGGGAGGGCAAAGAGAAGGAAAGGCAUUCAAGCAGGGGGAAUGGCACAUCCAAAAGCCUUAAGGUGUGGAACAGCCUGGCACAUCUGGAGAACUCCACUGAAGUACAGGGGAGGGCAUAGGGAGGGCACUUUGGGAGAGAGGCCAGCAGAAGGAGAAAGAGAGUAAAGGGCUGUGCCAAGGAGUUAGGCUCUCACCCUGUGAGCAGGGGCCCACUGACGGGCUUUCACAUGGAGUGAUUUGCAUUUCAGAAAAAUAACUCUGAGGAUGAUACAGAGAAUGGGGGGAGGGUGCAACCGGAAACAUUGGAGACCAGGAGACCAGGGAGGAGGCUCCCCCCAACCCCCAGGCUGGAGUGCAAUGGUACAAUCUCAGCUCACUGCAACCUCCACCUCCUGGGUUUAAGAUAUUCUCCUCCCUCAGCCUCCCGAGUAGCUGGAAUUACAGGCGUCCACCAC